Molecule: ribosomal RNA, 433 nt
Filed under: uncultured bacterium
Lineage: Bacteria
Description: partial 16S ribosomal RNA
Rfam family: Bacterial small subunit ribosomal RNA
Source: RNAcentral
AACGAACGCUGGCGGCAUGCCUAACACAUGCCAGUCGAACGAGACCUUCGGGUCUAGUGGCGCACGGGUGCGUAACGCGUGGGAACCUGCCCUUAGGUUCGGAAUAACUCCCCGAAAGGGGUGCUAAUACCGGAUAAUGUCUUCGGACCAAAGAUUUAUCGCCUUUGGAUGGGCCCGCGUUGGAUUAGCUAGUUGGUAGGGUAAAAGCCUACCAAGGCGACGAUCCAUAGCUGGUCUGAGAGGAUGAUCAGCCACACUGGGACUGAGACACGGCCCAGACUCCUACGGGAGGCAGCAGUGGGGAAUAUUGGACAAUGGGCGAGAGCCUGAUCCAGCAAGGCCGCGUGAGUGAUGAAGGCCUUAGGGUUGUAAAGCUCUUUUAACCGGGAUGAUAAUGACAGUACCGGGAGAAUAAGCACCGGCUAACUCCGUG